UUCAGCCCACGGUGACUCAGAGCUCCGAUAAUGACUGUGGCAGCGCGGCGGAUGAAAGUCUCGCUCCGACUGCAGCCGGCAGAGAGAAGCAGGAGUGAGGGCUGAGCGCCUCGGAGCCUCCCCGCUGCUGGUUGGGUUGAAACGCAUCCUGGUCCGAGGCACGAACUGUAAAAAAAAAGUCCAUUACACGGAUCUUCAGGCGCCUGGAGCAGGACUCAGCUCCAGGUCCGACCGGCGAGUGAGAAAACAUCACGAAGGGAAGAGAGCUGUGCGUCGUUGGGCAGGGGAUGGUUCACUCGCAACAGACACGGGAUGAUCCGGGGAAGUGGAACAUCAGGUCACAUUUCGGACUUCCACCCAAGCUCUGCCGAGGCCAGCCGUCCAACUUCUAAAAUUUCAGACACUGACAAUUGGCUCCGGUUUGACUUCUUGUUAAUUUAGCACUCCCCCUGGUGUCCAUCCGCAGAAUGAGCCACUCGCAGAAAGAAGAGCCUUUCAGCUUGGCUGUGCAUCUGGAUCGACUCCUACAGUGUCAAGAAUUUCCUUCUUUCUGUAUAAUUUUGCAUGAAGCUAAAGAUUUAAAUCUUUUUGUCCAACAAUCUGCCCUCAGGAGCUGAUUUCAUUUGGGAGCAUAGAUGUUUUGUACCCAGUUUCUAGCACCACAUGAAAUCAGUGUUCUGGGAGGCGGACUGCCAGCAUGUACAUCACUACACGUCAAAGUCAUUUUCCUCUCGGGGCUUAUUCAAGAUCUUAUGUCCUCAAAUGACCAGUUGUGGAAGAAUGUAUUGAUAUAACAAACUGUUGUUAAGUAGCUGCAGGUGCAUUCAAAUAGUACUUCUUAAAAUGAAAUAAUAUUUUGCAUCUUUUCACAUUUAUGUAAUUUAGUACUAUACAGAUAAAAACUGGUUUGAUUUAAUUGACGAAAUAAUAUUUAAGCACAAAACCGUUAUCUUGAAGUUGUAUUUAUGUGGCUCUCUGGGAUUAGUGACUUCUUCUCUGACUGGCCUGUGUUAGUACAGAACUCAUGUCACUGCGGACAAUAAUACUUUAUCAGCUUCUGUCAGCAUCUAUACACAAUAUUGUUUUGGUGCAACACAUUCAAGUCUGAGAUACAGAACCCAUUUUCUUCCUGAAUGGUAUGACGGCUGAACAUUUCCAAGGUGUUCAUACUUGCCUUUAAGUGUUUUUAUUUUUUUCUUAGACACUGAGGAAAAAAUGUCUAUCUGGAUUUAAAUAGUGUAAAUAAACGCAUGGCUUCAACAUUAUACGUAGAACAGUAGAAUGUUUAUAUCUUCAUUGUGGAACAAUAAAAUAUAUCGCUAUUCAA
This is a long non-coding RNA of Xiphophorus maculatus (southern platyfish), 1327 nucleotides long. RefSeq lists it as uncharacterized. Lineage: Eukaryota; Metazoa; Chordata; Actinopteri; Cyprinodontiformes; Poeciliidae. The record is from RefSeq and is a predicted model, not a curated record. The transcript is spliced from 2 exons.